This 253-nucleotide ribosomal RNA is filed under the name uncultured bacterium. RNAcentral describes it as "partial 16S ribosomal RNA". It matches the Rfam family "Bacterial small subunit ribosomal RNA", at positions 524 to 776 of the family's 1533-position model. The record is from RNAcentral.
GACAGAGGGUGCAAACGUUGCUCGGAAUUACUGGGCGUAAAGCGCGUGUAGGUGGAUUGGUGUGUCAGAUGUGAAAUCCCUGGGCUCAACCCAGGAACUGCACCUGAAACUACCAGUCUUGAGUGGUGGAGAGGGAAGUGGAAUUCCUGGUGUAGAGGUGAAAUUCGUAGAUAUCAGGAGGAACACCAGUGGCGAAGGCGGAUCUCUGGGCCGAUACUGACGCUGAGGAGCGAAAGCGUGGGGAGCGAACAGG